AGAGUUUGAUCAUGGCUCAGGACGAACGCUGGCGGCGUGCUUAACACAUGCAAGUCGAACGAUGAAGGAAGAGCUUGCUUUUCUGGAUUAGUGGCGAACGGGUGAGUAACACGUGAGUAACCUGCCCUCUUCUUUGGGAUAACGGUCGGAAACGGCUGCUAAUACUGGAUAUUCACUCAUUGGCGCAUGUUGGUGGGUGGAAAGGUUUUUUCUGGUGGGGGAUGGGCUCGCGGCCUAUCAGCUUGUUGGUGGGGUGAUGGCCUACCAAGGCUUUGACGGGUAACCGGCCUGAGAGGGUGACCGGUCACAUUGGGACUGAGAUACGGCCCAG
RNAcentral lists this ribosomal RNA (331 nucleotides) under uncultured bacterium. Its description in RNAcentral is "bacterial SSU rRNA". It matches the Rfam family "Bacterial small subunit ribosomal RNA", at positions 8 to 334 of the family's 1533-position model. The record is from RNAcentral.